UCCUCGGUAGCUCAGUUGGUUAGAGCACUUGACUGUUAAUCAGGGGGUCGUUGGUUCGAGCCCAACCCGGGGAG
This 74-nucleotide transfer RNA is filed under the name Bacteroidota bacterium. Its description in RNAcentral is "Bacteroidetes bacterium (mine drainage metagenome) tRNA-Asn". It matches the Rfam family "tRNA". From Rfam's summary of the family: Transfer RNA (tRNA) molecules are approximately 80 nucleotides in length. Their secondary structure includes four short double-helical elements and three loops (D, anti-codon, and T loops). The record is from RNAcentral. Lineage: Bacteria; Pseudomonadati; Bacteroidota. RNAcentral also lists the same sequence under 3 other names.